Long non-coding RNA from Chiroxiphia lanceolata (lance-tailed manakin), 1403 nucleotides. RefSeq lists it as uncharacterized. The record is from RefSeq and is a predicted model, not a curated record. The transcript is spliced from 3 exons. NCBI's taxonomy places the organism in Eukaryota, Metazoa, Chordata, Aves, Passeriformes, Pipridae.
CAGAGGAAGGGUGGAGUCCCCAUCCCUGGAAGUGUUAAAUAAACAAGCAGACAUGUUACUUUGCCAUACAGUUUAGUGGCCAUGGUGGUAUUAGAUCAAAAGUUGGACUUGGUGAUAUUGGAGGUCUUUUCCAAUCUUAAUGAUUCUAUGAUUCAAUGAUUCUCUCUCUUGCUAUCCUUUGAGGACAAUAGCAGCCCUCACAGUCCCCUUACCAGGAGUACAUUCCUGUGCCCCUCAGGCUUUUGUCUCUCUCGCCGUACCUAAAAAGAUAACUGAAUCUAGACAAAACUGAUCUAUUUCCAGUGCUUGGUCAUACUGAAACAGAAGGUCUGGUGGCAGCCAGCACAGACACCCCCUCCACCUCCAGCACUAUUAAUUUUCCCCCCUGAGCAUGGACAAGAUGGCUGCUGGUGUGGCCAUUGCUCCUCACAAAAUGUCUGCCAUGGUGACCUGCCCUCACUGCAAAAUGGCUGCCACUAGAGUCACCACCAAGGUUCAGAUGGCUUGUCAGUAUUUUCCCUGCCCCAUGCCAGGAGUUUAUUCUCUCUCCUGUCAUAGUGUGGUCUCUGCCUGCCCUACCUGCUGAAGGGAAAGCAUGCCUGGCGCUUCCCUUUGGGGUUCCAUUAUCCAUCCUCCCACAAGGACAAGGUGGGGAGGAAAGGUCACAGGCUCCCAGGCUCACUGUCACCUUCCCUCACUGCAAAGGGAACUCUUGAGUGCAUUUUUCCCAAAGUGCCAUUUGCUGGAGGUAUGCCAUUAGAUGUUGUUUCAUUCAAGAUACAUGCUUCUAAUCUUACAGGGCUUACACAACACCAAGGCCUUUUCUGCUCCUCAUCCCAGCAGUGAGGAGGCUGGGGGUGCACAAAGAGUUGGGAAGGGGACACAGAUGGGACAGCUGACCCCAAAUGACCGAAGAAACGUCCCAGACCAUAUGUCAUCAUGUCUAGUACAUAAAGCUGGGGAAGAAGAAUGUUUGGAAUUACAGCGUUUGAAUUCCCAAGUAACCACCGAGUGUGAUGGAGUCCUGCUUUCUUGUGCAUGGCUCAACACUUGCCUGUCCAUGGGAAGUGGUGAAUUAACUCCUUGUUUGUCUUCUUUGUGUGCUAUACUUUGCUUUACCUGUUAAACUGUCUUUAUCUAAACCCAUAUAUUUUCUCACUUUUUUGUUUCCAGUUCUCUUCCCCAGCCCACUGGGGAGAAGCAAGUGAGCAGCUGUGUGGGGCUUAGUUGUGAACUGGGGUUAAACCACGAUAACACCCUAAAAUACCAGUCAUUUUCAAAAGCGUAUGUGAACAGGACUUCUGGAAAACUUGUGCCCCAAUGGAGCAGCCUGUGAAGGUGAGUAGGACACUUCAAGACAUCUCAGGGGCAUGAGAUAUCUGUGCUUAUGUAGGUGAAUUUUA